This 401-nucleotide RNase P RNA is filed under the name Catalinimonas alkaloidigena. Its description in RNAcentral is "Bacteroidetes bacterium CNU-914 Bacterial RNase P class A". It matches the Rfam family "Bacterial RNase P class A". Rfam says of the family: Ribonuclease P (RNase P) is a ubiquitous endoribonuclease, found in archaea, bacteria and eukarya as well as chloroplasts and mitochondria. Its best characterised activity is the generation of mature 5'-ends of tRNAs by cleaving the 5'-leader elements of precursor-tRNAs. The record is from Rfam by way of RNAcentral. Lineage: Bacteria; Pseudomonadati; Bacteroidota; Cytophagia; Cytophagales; Catalimonadaceae.
UCAGAAGAUUAUCUUAUCGCCUUACUUACGGGUAAGGAGGAAAGUCCGGGCAACGCAGAGUACCGUACUUCCUAACGGGAAGGCACCCCGACUGCAGACGGGGUGACAGCCAGUGCCACAGAAAACGAACCGCCCCGCCAUGGGUGGGGUAAGGGUGAAAAGGUGGGGUAAGAGCCCACCGGGCCGCCGGUGACGGAGGUUGCAGGGUAAACCUUACGGGUUGAAAGGCCAAAUAGGUCGGCAUCCGGCGCAAGCCAGGAUUAAGGGUGACUCGCCCGACGCCGACGGGUAGGCUGAUGGAGCGGUUUCGUGAGGGACCGUCUAGAUAAAUGAUAAGACCUUUGUCGGCGCCUUGUGCGUUGGCAGAGCGACAGAACCCGGCUUAUCGAUCUUCUGCAUCU